This 1134-nucleotide ribosomal RNA is filed under the name Triticum aestivum (bread wheat). RNAcentral's name for it is "partial small subunit ribosomal RNA". The record is from RNAcentral. Lineage: Eukaryota; Viridiplantae; Streptophyta; Magnoliopsida; Poales; Poaceae.
AUGGAUCCCCUCGCCGUGCUCCGGGACUACGCCGCCCGCGGCGACCUGGACAAGAUCAUCUUCAACGGCGACGACGUCCUCUUCGGCGACGACUACACCUUCCCGGCCAACGCCCCCACCGCCUUCACCUCCAAGCAGUCCGGCCGCCCCUACCCGCUCUCCGCCGCCGUCUUCCUCGCCCAGCACAACGACCUCAAGCACACUGACUUCCUCCAGGCCGCCCGCCUCCGCCGGAUCCCGCCCGUCUCCCUCCCCGACCGCAAGACCUUCCUCGACUUCCUCCACUUCGGGGACAGCUCCCUCCCUUCCGCCGAGCCCCUCCUCCCCUCCUCCUUCGCGCAGGACGCCCCGCCCCCGCCCCCGCCGCCGGAGGACGAGGAGGGGGAGGGCCCCGACGCCGACGACGCCUCCACCGCCCACGUCCGCGCCGUCGAGCGGCCCCUCAAGGACCGCAACGCCCUCCUCGACGCCCGCGGCCGCGACUUCCUCGCCAUCUACCACGCCGCGCUGCGCCGCGAGGAGGACCGCCUGCGCAACAAGGACGCCGCGCCCUCCGCCGCCGGCCGUGGGCACGAGCCCUCCUCAACCGCCGCGGUGUCCCUCUCCAACCCCAAGCUCGACAAGCACGGGCUCGGCGACGGCUUCGUGCCCAUCAUACUGGUGCCCAGCGCGUCGCAGACGCUCAUCACCAUCUACAACGUCAGGGACUUCCUCGAGGACUUCGUCUUCGUGCCCAGCGACGACAAGAUGCGGGCCAUGAAGGGGAGCCCCAAGCCCGAGUGCGUCACCCUGCACAAGAAGCACGUCCGCGGGGCUGCCGGUCCGGUGGCGUUCGAGGUCAGGGACAAGCCGGCAUCGCUCAAGGCCGACGACUGGGCGCGGGUCGUCGCCGUGUUUGUGCUCGGAAAAGAGUGGCAGUUCAAGGACUGGCCCUUCAAGGGCCAUGUCGACAUCUUCAACAAAGUUAUUGGGUUCUUUGUACGCUUUGAAGAUGAUAGUGUGGAUUCAGCAAAAGUGGUCAAACAGUGGAAUGUCAAAAUCAUAUCUAUAAGCAAGAAUAAAAGGCAUCAAGACAGACCGGCUGCUCUCGAGGUGUGGGAUCGGCUGGACGAAUUUGUGCGGGCACGCUCAUAG